Molecule: ribosomal RNA, 721 nt
Filed under: Bacillus subtilis
Lineage: Bacteria; Bacillati; Bacillota; Bacilli; Caryophanales; Bacillaceae
Description: bacterial SSU rRNA
Rfam family: Bacterial small subunit ribosomal RNA
Source: RNAcentral
UCAUGCAAGUCGAGCGGACAGAUGGGAGCUUGCUCCCUGAUGUUAGCGGCGGACGGGUGAGUAACACGUGGGUAACCUGCCUGUAAGACUGGGAUAACUCCGGGAAACCGGGGCUAAUACCGGAUGGUUGUUUGAACCGCAUGGUUCAAACAUAAAAGGUGGCUUCGGCUACCACUUACAGAUGGACCCGCGGCGCAUUAGCUAGUUGGUGAGGUAACGGCUCACCAAGGCAACGAUGCGUAGCCGACCUGAGAGGGUGAUCGGCCACACUGGGACUGAGACACGGCCCAGACUCCUACGGGAGGCAGCAGUAGGGAAUCUUCCGCAAUGGACGAAAGUCUGACGGAGCAACGCCGCGUGAGUGAUGAAGGUUUUCGGAUCGUAAAGCUCUGUUGUUAGGGAAGAACAAGUACCGUUCGAAUAGGGCGGUACCUUGACGGUACCUAACCAGAAAGCCACGGCUAACUACGUGCCAGCAGCCGCGGUAAUACGUAGGUGGCAAGCGUUGUCCGGAAUUAUUGGGCGUAAAGGGCUCGCAGGCGGUUUCUUAAGUCUGAUGUGAAAGCCCCCGGCUCAACCGGGGAGGGUCAUUGGAAACUGGGGAACUUGAGUGCAGAAGAGGAGAGUGGAAUUCCACGUGUAGCGGUGAAAUGCGUAGAGAUGUGGAGGAACACAGUGGCGAAGGCGACUCUCUGGUCUGUAACUGACGCUGAAGAGCGAA